This is a long non-coding RNA of Sinocyclocheilus grahami, 2737 nucleotides long. RefSeq lists it as uncharacterized. The transcript has 2 exons. The record is from RefSeq and is a predicted model, not a curated record. Lineage: Eukaryota; Metazoa; Chordata; Actinopteri; Cypriniformes; Cyprinidae.
AACGUCAACACUGAGCUCGCGCGCGACGCUUCGUCUUAAAACAAUAACACUUAUUAUCUGAAUGCGGGGGAAACGGCACGAUCUAAACGGCGUUUAGAGAGUAAAAUCGCCUGCGAUCUAGUGUCGACGAGCACAGAAGUGACCAGUACGAGCCGAUUGUGGAGCCGGAGGAGAAAAGGGGGCUAUCGCUCAGCUGCGCAUGUAGAAAACCUGCGAUUUUUAAAAAAUAAUAUAUAAAAAUAACACUCGAUGCGAGGAAAAAUAUUGAAAAAUUCUGGAAAAUACCAGAGGGUCUUGGGAUUGGGAUUCUGCGCGGCGGGGGUGAAGAUUGUGUCAUUUUGGGGUUUAUUCACGGCGCUUUUUGAGCGGGAGUAACGGACGAGCCGCUGGCGCAGAUACACGCAGUUCAGUCCGAGCCCGUGCUGCAUCAGAUUAUAGAGGAGACAUCAGCCUUUCUAGCCGGAAAGGAAUGUAGAGCACACGGCAUGACACUGAGCUGUGACACAGUCAAGUAACUGUAAGUACACCACUGGUUGAACCAUUUUAACUAUACUGGUUAUAAGAAGCAUGGUUUAGUUGAAUUAUUUUCUGAAAUGCAUAAAAUAGCGGGAGUAUAUAGAAGAAAAAAGUCCUAUAUCCUCAUGAAGUGCCUAACAAAGAGAAAACAAGAAAGUGAAAGGCAUACAGACAAAGCAAACAACACAAGUAAAUAUUAUAAUGUGGGAGGUUACAGGCUUUUGUCAGCGAGCGCUAUUUUUUUCUCUCCCAGAAGUCCAUGGGGCUCUUUUCAUAACCUGUAAUUUUACCCUUAUAGACAGCAGAUGCUUCACUGUCCUCUUGCUUGUUACACCAAAAGUUUAUUGUUAGUAUUGGAUCACCUGGUACAAUAGCACAUGUGCGUUUACUGAAUGGAACAGAUACCUGGGGGUUUACAAAAACAACUAACAUCAGAAAUAGAACAUGAUAAAUAUUGAAAGUUAGUCAUGCGUGAAAUUGUUAUUAUUAGCUUGUUAUUUUGCACUUUGCACACUUCAUGUAAAUUCACUCCCGCAUAAGAGUCAUUUCAAAGAUAGUUUUGGGCUUAACCGUAUGCAAGCUUCAGCUUACUCAUAUGGUUCUUUACAAAUUCACGUCUUGACUGAUUUGAAUUACCUAUAUGAAUCUACUUGCAAAUCUUAUAUUGAAUAUGAAAAUAGUUUUAGAAAAAUACAAUUCAAUUAGACAACUUGCAUAAAUACACUAUACACUAUCAGUUCGUAUGGUUUUCUGAAGUUAUCUGCUUUUGUCAAAUCUCUCUAAAUGAAGGUUUGGAUACAGUGAUUUUUUUAAUCACAGUGCACACUUACCUGGUAAUGGGGAUUUCAUCAGUGAGAGGCAGGCAGGUUGUGUAAGAACGGUGUGAAUAUCAUGUUUUUCUCAGAACAGGUACCAAAUUACCACAACUGACCAGAGAGUUAAGAGUAUGCAAAUAAAUUUUGAGCACUGUGUACUUCUCCAGAAAAAUCCACUGUAGAAUAGAAAUGUGCUGUUAAAAAUAGAAGACAGUUUUUAAAAAAAAGUUAUAGUUAAAUAGUGUAAGGAGCAGCAAUGUAACAUUUAUAUAAUAUUUCUAAAAAGAAACAUUUUAUAUCUUUAAAAACAGAGAUGCUCACUUAAUUUUUUGCAUUUGUCAACUUUGCUUUUCAUGAUGUAACAGACUUUUAAAAAUGGAAAACAAUGCAUUUGACCUUGAAACUAGAUAUUGGCAGCUGCCAGUUUUUUUUUUUUUCUGGUUCCCAUUUAAAACAAAAGAAUUAUCUUUACUUGACUCCUAAAAUAGAUACACUUUUCUAGAAUAGAAACACUUCCACUUGUUUUCAUACAUGAUUAUGUUAGUGAUCCAUGUCCUGCUGCAUUUGCAUAGCAAAACCAAACGGUGAGAAAUAAGUUCACAAAGCCUCAGGAAGUCUCACGUUUUAAUCAGAACUGCCGCUUGGUUUUAUCUUUAUUCUUGAUUUUAGAUUCUAAUGUCCUGAGCAAGCCUUUUUAUUUUUUGUCCUCGAAGUCAAUUUGACAUCAUUUCAUUAAAGCAGGUAGUCAUACUGACACUAAUUACUCAUCGUCUUUUUAUUGAUCCUGUGUUUUCAGGUUGCGAGAUGCGGAGCAUGUCUGUGCGGCGGUGUGGGUGCUCGUGCGCUCGGCGCGGGGCCUGUCGGUACUGUAGCAGCACAGAAUGGUUUGUGAGUUAUAACGGGGGUGCAGGCCGUACUGUGCUGCGGCAAGAACGACAGGACAUACGCGCAGGUCACAUUCAAACGAGUGAACAGACAGCAGCAGCAGCAAGACUACGUGUGCCGGCGAGUCUCCUGAACUUGGCCGUGUGACUGACUGGCUGCCUGGCUGUAGCAGCACGUAAAUAUUGGAGUCAAAGCACUAGCGAAUCCUCCAGUAUUGACCGUGCUGCUGGAGUUAGGCGGGCCGUUUACCGUCUGCGGCGGCCUGUGUGCUUCGGGAUCACUCAUCAGGAAAGCACAAGAAGAUGAACGACUGACUGAUAACAUACUGUGCACAUGCCGGUGUUCUGAACGCUUUUAUUCUGAGAACGGAUGACAUGGAAUUUAAUAAAACAUCAAAUAAGCUGUAUAAUUAUGUAAUUUCAGUUUAAACGAGUCAGAUGCUUCUCUAAAAGUGCUUGGAGCUCGUUGAUACAAUUUAUGUACAUGGAAAAAUACAAUAAAGGAAAAUAACAUUAAAAUCA